AUUGAACGCUGGCGGCAGGCCUAACACAUGCAAGUCGGACGGUAGCACAGAGGAGCUUGCUCCUUGGGUGACGAGUGGCGGACGGGUGAGUAAUGUCUGGGGAUCUGCCCGAUAGAGGGGGAUAACCACUGGAAACGGUGGCUAAUACCGCAUAACGUCGCAAGACCAAAGAGGGGGACCUUCGGGCCUCUCACUAUCGGCUUAACCCAGAUGGGAUUAGCUAGUAGGCGGGGGAAUGGCCCACCUAGGCGACGAACCCUAGCUGGUCUGAGAGGAUGACCAGCCACACUGGAGCUGAGACACGGUCCAGACUCCUACGGGAGGCAGCAGUGGGGAAUAUUGCACAAUGGGCGCAAGCCUGAUGCAGCCAUGCCGCGUGUAUGAAGAAGGCCUUCGGGUUGUAAAGUACUUUCAGCGGGGAGGAAGGCGGUGCGGUUAAUAACCGCGCCGAUUGACGUUACCCGCAGAAGAAGCACCGGCUAACUCCGUGCCAGCCGCCGCGGUAA
Molecule: ribosomal RNA, 506 nt
Filed under: uncultured bacterium
Lineage: Bacteria
Description: partial 16S ribosomal RNA
Rfam family: Bacterial small subunit ribosomal RNA
Source: RNAcentral